GGUUCGAUCAUGGCUCAGAUUGAACGCUGGCGGGAUGCUUUACACAUGCAAGUCGAACGGCAGCACGGACUUCCGGUCUGGUGGCGAGUGGCGAACAGGUGAGUAAUGUAUCGGAACGUGCCUAGUAGCAGAGGAUAACUACGCGAAAGCGUAGCUAAUACCGCAUACGCCCUUCGAGGAAAGCGAGACCUUCGGGCCUCGCACUAUUAGAGCGGCCGAUAUCGGAUUAGCUAGUUGGUGAGGUAACGGCUCACCAAGGCGACGAUCCG
This 269-nucleotide unclassified non-coding RNA is filed under the name uncultured Bordetella sp. RNAcentral describes it as "partial 16S-23S ribosomal RNA intergenic spacer". It matches the Rfam family "Bacterial small subunit ribosomal RNA", at positions 10 to 283 of the family's 1533-position model. The record is from RNAcentral. Lineage: Bacteria; Pseudomonadati; Pseudomonadota; Betaproteobacteria; Burkholderiales; Alcaligenaceae.